GCCAGAGUGGUGUAAUGGUUUAUGCACUGGACAAGCACUCCAGGAGAUCAGAGUUCAAACCUCUGCUCAGCCA
This is a non-coding RNA of Phrynosoma platyrhinos (Desert horned lizard), 73 nucleotides long. NCBI's taxonomy places the organism in Eukaryota, Metazoa, Chordata, Lepidosauria, Squamata, Phrynosomatidae. The record is from the annotation of a GenBank genome assembly.